RNAcentral lists this ribosomal RNA (487 nucleotides) under marine sediment bacterium ISA-2682. RNAcentral's name for it is "bacterial SSU rRNA". It matches the Rfam family "Bacterial small subunit ribosomal RNA", at positions 37 to 503 of the family's 1533-position model. The record is from RNAcentral.
UGGCGGCGUGCCUAAUACAUGCAAGUCGAGCGAAGAGAUGGGAGCUUGCUCCCAGAUCUUAGCGGCGGACGGGUGAGUAACACGUGGGCAACCUGCCCUGCAGACUGGGAUAACUCCGGGAAACCGGAGCUAAUACCGGGUAAUACAUCGCACCGCAUGGUGCAAUGUUGAAAGUUGGCUUUCUGAGCUAACACUGCAGGAUGGGCCCGCGGCGCAUUAGCUAGUUGGUAAGGUAAUGGCUUACCAAGGCAACGAUGCGUAGCCGACCUGAGAGGGUGAUCGGCCACACUGGGACUGAGACACGGCCCAGACUCCUACGGGAGGCAGCAGUAGGGAAUCUUCCGCAAUGGACGAAAGUCUGACGGAGCAACGCCGCGUGAGUGACGAAGGCCUUCGGGUCGUAAAGCUCUGUUGUUAGGGAAGAACAAGUACCGUUCGAAUAGGGCGGUACCUUGACGGUACCUAACCAGAAAGCCACGGCUAACUA